UGGGGGAUAUUGCACAAUGGGCGAAAGCCUGAUGCAGCGACGCCGCGUGGGGGAUGAAGGCCUUCGGGUUGUAAACUUCUUUUGCUCUGAACAAGGCGCACCAUGGGGUGUGUUGAGUGUAGGGGUUGAUUAGCGCCGGCUAACUACGUGCCAGCAGCCGCGGUAAUACGUAGGGCGCGAGCGUUGUCCGGAAUUAUUGGGCGUAAAGGGCUUGUAGGUGGCUGGUUGCGUCUGUCGUGAAAGCUCAUGACUUAACUGUGGGUUUGCGGUGGGUACGGGCUGGCUUGAGUGCAGUAGGGGAGGCUGGAAUUCCUGGUGUAGCGGUGGAAUGCGCAGAUAUCAGGAGGAAUACCGGUGGCGAAGGCGGGUCUCUGGGCUGUUACUGACACUGAGGAGCGAAAGCAUGGGGAGCGAACAGG
This 419-nucleotide ribosomal RNA is filed under the name bacterium. Its description in RNAcentral is "partial 16S ribosomal RNA". It matches the Rfam family "Bacterial small subunit ribosomal RNA", at positions 355 to 776 of the family's 1533-position model. The record is from RNAcentral.